RNAcentral lists this ribosomal RNA (464 nucleotides) under uncultured bacterium. RNAcentral describes it as "partial 16S ribosomal RNA". It matches the Rfam family "Bacterial small subunit ribosomal RNA", at positions 339 to 795 of the family's 1533-position model. The record is from RNAcentral.
CAACGGGUGGCUGCAGUGGGGAAUAUUGCACAAUGGGCGCAAGCCUGAUGCAGCCAUGCCGCGUGUAUGAAGAAGGCCUUCGGGUUGUAAAGUACUUUCAGCGGGGAGGAAGGGAGUAAAGUUAAUACCUUUGCUCAUUGACGUUACCCGCAGAAGAAGCACCGGCUAACUCCGUGCCAGCAGCCGCGGUAACACGGAGGGUGCAAGCGUUAAUCGGAAUUACUGGGCGUAAAGCGCACGCAGGCGGUUUGUUAAGUCAGAUGUGAAAUCCCCGGGCUCAACCUGGGAACUGCAUCUGAUACUGGCAAGCUUGAGUCUCGUAGAGGGGGGUAGAAUUCCAGGUGUAGCGGUGAGAUGCGUAGAGAUCUGGAGGAAUACCGGUGGCGAAGGCGGCCCCCUGGACGAAGACUGACGCUCAGGUGCGAAAGCGUGGGGAGCAAACAGGAUUAGAUACCCCGGUAGUC